CAGGGAGGGCAGGGGAGGG
This 19-nucleotide microRNA is filed under the name Bos taurus (domestic cattle). Its description in RNAcentral is "bta-miR-7865". Lineage: Eukaryota; Metazoa; Chordata; Mammalia; Artiodactyla; Bovidae. The record is from miRBase by way of RNAcentral.